AAUAUUGUGUUCCAGUUUUCAGCUGGUUAAAUGAUAUUUGAAAACACUAAGAAUUUUUUUAUCUCUCAAUUUCAACAGGUGAUGUUCUAUCAGGAUGGAGUCUGAUGUCUUGUCAGAUCAUGUAAUGUAGCUGCCAGAAUUGAGCCAGAGCCAGAGAAACAUCCUGGCAACUUGGAAGACCAAAUGAUUGGCAAGAAGGCUCAAGAACUCCUACGGACAGAAGACACAUCUAGUAGAAGGCCACACAGCUCUUCUGUUCCGCCUAUUCAGUUUUUAGUAUUUUCCACACUUUCGUAUGUCUAAUUUUCUAAAUUCCAAUAUCAACCCAAACUCUGUUUUUAGGAAAAAAUGCAAAAAUUCAAAAUUGGGAUGAAAUUUAUGCCCAGAAACAACCACAUUUUUUUGUUAACCAACAAUGUAGGAAUCACUACAAACUCAGUUUUUUCUUUUAGCAUUGAGAGACUUUAAACAGCACAGAGUAAUAAGCUGUUUCCAAAACAUCAGCUCAGUUCAUGUCACCCUUCAGUUUUCAUCGUCAUUACUCAAGGGGAUUUCUAGUUCCUACAUAAGGAAUGUUUUAAGAUAAAGUAAAAACUGUAAGAAUGGAUUAAAAACGUGAGCUGAUGUUGGUACAAAAACUUUAAAUCUAUGCAUAGAUUUUUUUAGCAUGUAUUUUCAUAAACUUUUCUGAGAUUGUCUCUGUUAAUAUAAACGUAAUAUUCAGAGAUCUCAGAAAAAAGUUCAUGAAAAUAUAUACCAGAGAAAUGUAUGCAUGGAUGUAAUUUUUUUGUGCCAAUACCAACUCAUACUUAAAUUCAUUUUUAUAUUUUUUAAUUUUAUCUUUUUUUGUUUGUUUUGAAAUAUCUGUUCAUUUGUAGGCUUUAAAAAUGUGCUUCUAUACCAUUAAUAAGCUGGAUGUUAUCCCCAGGAGAAAUGAUGGUUUUAAAAUACUGUAGAAGCUGAAGAUUAAAUAUGAAUUUAUCGAACACCUAUGACAAUGUUAUUAGUUAAAUACUGCACACAGUGAUGAAGUGAUUCCUAGCCCUUGUUGAAAACAUUAGCUGAGUAAUUAUAAAAUUGAACAUUAAGAGUCAAAAGAUUCGAUGCACAGGAAAAAUCAAAAGGCGUACUUUCUAGAACAAAA
Long non-coding RNA from Ochotona princeps (American pika), 1144 nucleotides. RefSeq lists it as uncharacterized. Lineage: Eukaryota; Metazoa; Chordata; Mammalia; Lagomorpha; Ochotonidae. The record is from RefSeq and is a predicted model, not a curated record. The transcript is spliced from 3 exons.